RNAcentral lists this transfer RNA (77 nucleotides) under Bacillus cereus. RNAcentral describes it as "tRNA-Met". It matches the Rfam family "tRNA". From Rfam's summary of the family: Transfer RNA (tRNA) molecules are approximately 80 nucleotides in length. Their secondary structure includes four short double-helical elements and three loops (D, anti-codon, and T loops). The record is from RNAcentral. Lineage: Bacteria; Bacillati; Bacillota; Bacilli; Caryophanales; Bacillaceae.
GGACCUUUAGCUCAGUUGGUCAGAGCAGACGGCUCAUAACCGUCCGAUCGUAGGUUUAAAUCCUACAAGGUCCAUCA